This 240-nucleotide ribosomal RNA is filed under the name Triticum aestivum (bread wheat). RNAcentral's name for it is "partial small subunit ribosomal RNA". Lineage: Eukaryota; Viridiplantae; Streptophyta; Magnoliopsida; Poales; Poaceae. The record is from RNAcentral.
AUGGAUUGGUGGCUGCGCGCAAAGGACUCGACACCGCCAGCACUUCGCAAGGCGCUCAAAUCUGUGGCGCUCCUGGUACCGUGGAUGGUUUGGAAGCAUAGGAACGCGUGUGUUUUCGACCAUGUGACACCUUCGCUGAACGAGUUGGUAGACAGGAUUAAAGACGAGACCCGAUGUUGGGCAAAGGCCGGAGCUCAAGGGCUCAGGGUCGUUUUGCCACCAUCCUGGGAUGUCCACUGA